UCGCUCACCUAAUCCCUAUCCUUACGAUUGUAUUGAAAAUAUUUUUGAUCACCUUGUCGACGACGAUAUUGUCUAUUGUGGGACACUUUAGAAUUAUUAACAUCAAUUGAAUGAGGGAUUUGCUUAAAAUUUUUCAGAUUAGCAACUAGAUCUCUGCUCUUUUCACGAGUAGCAACCAUCUCGGUUUGGAAAGCUGCUAAUUGAGUUUGUAAGCGUUGCUGGCUAGUGACAAGUUGAGCUAAUUGUCUAGUGAGUGUCUCAAAUUGUGAAGAGUCCAUGUCUAAGUACUGAAACGAGGAGUGAUAAGACGACCAAUCGACCACUAUGCAUGCACUAUAUUAGCAGCUAAAUGACGUGUAAUAGAGAGAUCAAUGAACAAUAAGUGCAAGCAAUGGAAAUUAACAGCUUGAACCAUUUUUUUUUUUUAAUUUUCAAUUUUGGGAUUAAAUAAAUCCAAAGCAAGCUAAUACUGCUGGUACAUGUAAAAUAGCAAAGUAAUGGUCAAACACUAGUCAAAAUCUCCAAUCACGU
Molecule: long non-coding RNA, 531 nt
Filed under: Olea europaea subsp. europaea
Lineage: Eukaryota; Viridiplantae; Streptophyta; Magnoliopsida; Lamiales; Oleaceae
Source: RNAcentral